RNAcentral lists this ribosomal RNA (253 nucleotides) under uncultured bacterium. Its description in RNAcentral is "partial 16S ribosomal RNA". It matches the Rfam family "Bacterial small subunit ribosomal RNA", at positions 524 to 776 of the family's 1533-position model. The record is from RNAcentral.
UACGGAGGGGACUAGCGUUGUCCGGAAUUACUGGGCGUAAAGAGCUCGUAGGUGGUUUGUCGCGUUGUUCGUGAAAACUCACAACUCAAUUGUGGGCGUGCGGGCGAUACGGGCAGACUGGAGUACUGCAGGGGAGACUGGAAUUCCUGGUGUAGCGGUGGAAUGCGCAGAUAUCAGGAGGAACACCGGUGGCGAAGGCGGGUCUCUGGGCAGUAACUGACGCUGAGGAGCGAAAGCGUGGGGAGCGAACAGG